GCGAGCUCGAGUCUGUCUUGAGAAUUUGGUCCAGUGGUAAAGAGGCUUAUCCUCUCUAGUGGGGGGCGCAGGUUCGAUUCCUGCUUGGGCCAU
This 93-nucleotide small RNA is filed under the name Helianthus annuus (common sunflower). Its description in RNAcentral is "hypothetical non coding rna". The stretch from base 28 to 92 matches the Rfam family "tRNA". Rfam says of the family: Transfer RNA (tRNA) molecules are approximately 80 nucleotides in length. Their secondary structure includes four short double-helical elements and three loops (D, anti-codon, and T loops). Further hydrogen bonds mediate the characteristic L-shaped molecular structure. tRNAs have two regions of fundamental functional importance: the anti-codon, which is responsible for specific mRNA codon recognition, and the 3' end, to which the tRNAs corresponding amino acid is attached (by aminoacyl-tRNA synthetases). tRNAs cope with the degeneracy of the genetic code in two manners: having more than one tRNA (with a specific anti-codon) for a particular amino acid; and 'wobble' base-pairing, i.e. permitting non-standard base-pairing at the 3rd anti-codon position. The record is from RNAcentral. Lineage: Eukaryota; Viridiplantae; Streptophyta; Magnoliopsida; Asterales; Asteraceae.